GAUGAACGCUGGCGGCGUGCUUAACACAUGCAAGUCGAACGGAAAGGCCCAAGCUUGCUUGGGUCCUCGAGUGGCGAACGGGUGAGUAACACGUGGGUGAUCUGCCCUGCACUUCGGGAUAAGCCUGGGAAACUGGGUCUAAUACCGGAUAGGACCACAUUUUGGAUGGUGUGGUGGAAAGUUUUUCGGUGUGGGAUGAGCUCGCGGCCUAUCAGCUUGUUGGUGGGGUAAUGGCCUACCAAGGCGUCGACGGGUAGCCGGCCUGAGAGGGUGUACGGCCACAUUGGGACUGAGAUACGGCCCAGACUCCUACGGGAGGCAGCAGUGGGGAAUAUUGCACAAUGGGCGCAAGCCUGAUGCAGCGACGCCGCGUGGGGGAUGACGUCCUUCGGGUUGUAAACUCCUUUCGCUAGGGACGAAGCGCAAGUGACGGUACCUGGAGAAGAAGCACCGGCUAACUACGUG
RNAcentral lists this ribosomal RNA (465 nucleotides) under uncultured bacterium. RNAcentral describes it as "partial 16S ribosomal RNA". It matches the Rfam family "Bacterial small subunit ribosomal RNA", at positions 28 to 507 of the family's 1533-position model. The record is from RNAcentral.